AUUUGUAAUGAUGAUUGGCAAAAUGUUCAACUGCUCUGAAAAGAGUGACUGACGACAGCCUUUCUGAACACUU
This 73-nucleotide small nucleolar RNA is filed under the name Pelusios castaneus (West African mud turtle). RNAcentral describes it as "Small nucleolar RNA Z40 (ENSPCEG00000014771.1)". It matches the Rfam family "Small nucleolar RNA Z40". Rfam says of the family: Z40 is a member of the C/D class of snoRNA which contain the C (UGAUGA) and D (CUGA) box motifs. The record is from Rfam by way of RNAcentral. Lineage: Eukaryota; Metazoa; Chordata; Testudines; Pelomedusidae.